AGAGUUUGAUCCUGGCUCAGGAUGAACGCUAGCGACAGGCCUAACACAUGCAAGUCGAGGGGCAGCGAAGAGGUAGCAAUACCUUGUCGGCGACCGGCGCACGGGUGAGUAACACGUAUGCAAUCCACCUGUAACAGGGGGAGUAACCCGGACGAAAUACCGGACUAAUACCCCACUAAUAUGGGCGCUCCGCAUGGAGAGCCCAUUAAAGAGAGCAAUUUUGGUUACAGACGAGCAUGCGCUCCAUUAGCCAGUUGGCGGGGUAACGGCCCACCAAAGCGACGAUGGAUAGGGGUUCUGAGAGGAAGGUCCCCCACAUUGGAACUGAGACACGGUCCAAACUCCUACGGGAGGCAGCA
Molecule: ribosomal RNA, 359 nt
Filed under: uncultured bacterium
Lineage: Bacteria
Description: bacterial SSU rRNA
Rfam family: Bacterial small subunit ribosomal RNA
Source: RNAcentral